This 305-nucleotide ribosomal RNA is filed under the name uncultured bacterium. RNAcentral describes it as "bacterial SSU rRNA". It matches the Rfam family "Bacterial small subunit ribosomal RNA", at positions 333 to 655 of the family's 1533-position model. The record is from RNAcentral.
UUGUGCCUACGGGGGGCAGCAGUGGGGAAUAUUGCACAAUGGGGGAAACCCUGAUGCAGCGACGCCGCGUGAGUGAAGAAGUAUUUCGGUAUGUAAAGCUCUAUCAGCAGGGAAGAAAAUGACGGUACCUGACCAAGAAGCCCCGGCUAACUACGUGCCAGCAGCCGCGGUAAUACGUAGGGAGCAAGCGUUGUCCGGAUUUACUGGGUGUAAAGGGUGCGUAGGCGGGCUUGCAAGUCAGAAGUGAAAUCUAUGGGCUUAACCCAUAAACUGCUUUUGAAACUGUAAGUCUUGAGUGAAGUAGA